Molecule: long non-coding RNA, 249 nt
Filed under: Elaeis guineensis (African oil palm)
Lineage: Eukaryota; Viridiplantae; Streptophyta; Magnoliopsida; Arecales; Arecaceae
Description: long non-coding RNA (EGUI_LNC008199)
Source: RNAcentral
AUGGGUAUUCACUCAGGAUCAGUUUGAAACAGUCUUCUAUGGUGUUGAUCUUUUUUUUUAAAGAAUGAUCUCCUAUGAAUCUGAACAAGGUCUGAAUCGCAAUCAACUCUUUAAUUCUUUUUUUGAUCUUUUUUUUCUCUUCUUCUCUUGCUCUUCUUUCUUUGAUUAUGAAACAAUCAAGAUCUAAAAGUCAGCAAGCAAAUGGGAUGCCUAUACUUCUUUUAAGCAUGGAAGAUAGAAGAUGCCCAA